UGGGUCUCCAUGGUUAGGGUUUUGAAAACUUCAAACAAUUGUAACUUGAGUUCUAGGCCACCAAAUUGAGUGGUUCCAAAGCCUAACUCACUUAAAAUUUUGCAAGGAAUCCAUUUUUGUCCUUAUUUUUGAGUUUGGUGCGGUGUAGAGGGAGAUACUGCCCAUUUUCAAUUGCGAAAUAUUGAAGUAUUUUGGGGAUUUUGGUGGAUUGGAAGCUCACUUUGGUUCAUUGGUUGCUUGAAGAUCAUUCCCUUGGACCCUAGGAGUUGUUUUGUGGUGUUUUGGAGCACAAGUCAAGUAAAGGCUAUUUUGGAUAACUUCUUGGAUUUCAAGUUAUUUUGCAAGGAAAGCUUUUGACAAACAGGUAUACAAGAUAUUGUGAUGUGAUUCAUUUGAUGCAUGAUUCGUCUGAUUCAAGUUUCAUGACCAUUGAAAAUUACAAGUAUGUACUUUCAUUGAGGGACAAAAGCAUCGAAAGUGCAUGAUAC
This is a long non-coding RNA of Gastrolobium bilobum, 488 nucleotides long. RefSeq lists it as uncharacterized. The transcript is spliced from 3 exons. Lineage: Eukaryota; Viridiplantae; Streptophyta; Magnoliopsida; Fabales; Fabaceae. The record is from RefSeq and is a predicted model, not a curated record.